UCCUAGUUGACCUAGGCAGUCUCGCUAGAGUUCCCGACAUUACUCGCUGGCAACUAACGAUAAGGGUUGCGCUCGUUGCUGGACUUAACCAAACACCUCACGGCACGAGCUGACGACAGCCAUGCAGCACCUCUCCAGCGGCCUUACGGCGAUAUCGUUUCUGAUAUCUUCCACUGAAGUUCAAGCCCAGGUAAGGUUCUUCGCGUUGCAUCGAAUUAAACCACAUGCUCCACUGCUUGUGCGGGCCCCCGUCAAUUCUUUUGAGUUUCACCCUUGCGAGCGUACUCCCCAGGCGGCAUACUUAUCGUGUUAACUUCGAAACGAAAGGGGUUGAAUCCUCUCACUUCUAGUAUGCAUCGUUUACGGUGUGGACUAC
RNAcentral lists this unclassified non-coding RNA (376 nucleotides) under uncultured Chlamydiales bacterium. RNAcentral describes it as "contains 16S-23S intergenic spacer region". Lineage: Bacteria; Pseudomonadati; Chlamydiota; Chlamydiia; Chlamydiales. The record is from RNAcentral.